This 253-nucleotide ribosomal RNA is filed under the name uncultured bacterium. RNAcentral's name for it is "partial 16S ribosomal RNA". It matches the Rfam family "Bacterial small subunit ribosomal RNA", at positions 524 to 776 of the family's 1533-position model. The record is from RNAcentral.
UACGGAGGGUGCAAGCGUUAUCCGGAUUCACUGGGUUUAAAGGGUGCGUAGGAGGACUGGUAAGUCAGUGGUGAAAUCCCCGAGCUUAACUUGGGAACUGCCGUUGAUACUAUCAGUCUUGAAUACCGUGGAGGUGAGGGGAAUAUGUCAUGUAGCGGUGAAAUGCUUAGAUAUGACAUAGAACACCAAUUGCGAAGGCAGCUCGCUACACGAAUAUUGACUCUGAGGCACGAAAGCGUGGGGAUCAAACAGG